Molecule: ribosomal RNA, 270 nt
Filed under: uncultured archaeon
Lineage: Archaea
Description: partial 16S ribosomal RNA
Rfam family: Archaeal small subunit ribosomal RNA
Source: RNAcentral
CAGCACCUCAAGUGGUCAGGAUGAUUAUUGGGCCUAAAGCAUCCGUAGCCGGCGCUGUAAGUUUUCGGUUAAAUCUGUACGCUCAACGUACAGGCUGCCGGGAAUACUGCAGCGCUAGGGAGUGGGAGAGGUAGACGGUACUCGGUAGGAAGGGGUAAAAUCCUUUGAUCUAUUGAUGACCACCUGUGGCGAAGACGGUCUACCAGAACACGUCCGACGGUGAGGGAUGAAAGCUGGGGGAGCAAACCGGAUUAGAGACCCGAGUAGUCC